AACUUACUGACCCAGGACAACAGUCAUGAAAGGUUAAACAGUCACAUGACAAAUAAAUACUUGAAGACCGUUACUUUGCUCUUUUGAUUUCUAGAUGAGUCCACUCUUAUACACUAGAGAAAAUAUUACUUAGUCCUAUCUGAAAUAAGCUUAUCCUACUUUGAAGGCUGCAUUGAAUUUCCUGAAACUGUUGGAGGCAUAAAAGAGCUUGGUGUAGGAGUUCCUGACAUUAUGGGUCUUGAAAACGGUAUCCUCUGGGAGCUCAUUGCAUUUAGAAGCCUGGGUGCUGUAUUAGCAAGAACCAUUCCAGGCCGGUUAGCAGGUACUGAUUGUGGCACGGGAUGAGUCAUAGAUCUUGAUUUAAGUAUUUGACUACGCUCAACGAGAAGCCUCUGUUUUGACCUCUCCAAUAGUUCUCUGACCCUCAUAACCACAUUAUCCAUGUCAUGAAAGAAGGUUAUCUUGCUCUCCAGCUUGUUUAACUGUUUCUCUAUUAAUGAUGUAGUAAGCAGCCGAAUUUGGUCCUCUUCUUGAUCUGCCAGAUAUUUCGCCUUGACUGCAGCAGCUGUCAAAGCAGUGACUGCGGCACGUUUGAUCUUUUCAAUAUCCAGAUCAUUUUUGUUCUUCAAAGGAUCUUUUCUCCCAUCUAAAGAGUCUUUGACUUCUCCAGCCCCUGUAUCUUCGCCAUUUUCAAGUACAGAGUUCGAUUUCAUGGAUUGCUCAGGCUCCUUUGUUUGCACAGCUGGCAUCAUGUCCUCAUCUUUAGGAGUAUCUGGAGAGUCAGAAGGAAUGGUCAUUAAAGCUCCAUCAACUGACUCCUUUUCGAACCCGGGUGGGAGCUCUAGUUUAGACGUUAAAACAUCUGAUUCUGCUGUGGUACUUGGUGUCUGUCCCACUGCCAAGUCUGCAUCAUCUGAUUCUUUAAGUGAUGCAGGUUCCCCUUCUUUGUCAGUAGGAAUUGGAUCAGAUUGUUUUGAAGUAUCAGAUUUCUCUGGAUUUUCAUCACUGGUGGAAACCAAAUGGGCUGCUUCUUCAAGUUCCUUCUCAUUUUUCUCUUCAUGGUUUUCACCAUCCUGCUCUUCGCACUUUUUGUCAAUGUUUGUUUCACCUUUGGUCUCUUCUUGUCCAAUUGACAAACUCUUCUCUUCAAUAACUGAUGUCAACUUUUCCUCUUUCUGCAUUUCAACAUUGUCCUCCUCAUCUUUCUUAUCUUCUGGAUCAACUGGUCCAUUAGCAGGUCGAUCUGUAUCAGAUGAUGCCUUCCCAUCAUCUGGUGGAUCUUCCAAAACAAAACAGUGCCUUAAGGCUAGAUUCUCACCAGAAGGAUUACCAGAAAUGGAUUUCAAAGAGCUGCGCACUGAGGCAGUAACUCUUUUAGCUUCUACCAGUUUCACCAGGAACGCUGCCACUGCCAUUACAGGAUUGCCAGCUUCAGCAAAUGAAGCAUAUUCUCCAGGUGGAGGAUAAAAACCAGCAGCAGUAAAUGCCUCCCUCAGUGCUUUGAGUGCACAGUUCUCACCAACCUCCUCCUGAGGAAUUGGCCCAUUCACAUUCUCUGGCUUUGAUGUUUCCACUGUGGGUGAAACCUGAUUGUCAUUUCCAUCAUCCUUACUCUCUGUUGUUUCUGGGGCAUCAGUACUAGCUGAUGUAUCAUCUUUAGACAAAACUGCAUCUUCUUUUUCUUUAACACACUGGUUAAUUUCAGCAUCAGUAUCCAAGAAUGUAUCCUCUAUUGGCAUUUCAAUGAAGUGAAGAAUACACUGAGCUUUGGUCUUUGUAGCCACAUGCUCAGCAAUCUCAUUCCAGUUUUCCUUGUAAAGCUCUAAUGCCUCAAGGAGAAGAAGAGUCUCCUGAUCUGUCCACUUCCCACCACUUGCACCGCCAGACUCACCAGGCUCCAUAACAAUGAAAUCAGAAGGUGACAUACCAGAUCCAAACUUCCCAUUGUUGAAGCAUUCGCUACACAAGUCAAAGUCUGCCUCCUUUUGGCAAUGAUACCGCUUUCUUGAGCAGUCAGCUGAGCAAGAGUUGCAGUGGUACUCAACAGCUGGCCCUUCAGACUUCAUCAGUUCUUCAGCAAUAGCUGACUCUGGAAAGAAUCCAGAAGUCGCAGAAGGAGUAGCUACACUAGACCUCGGAAGAACUGGGGUCCAUGUUUCAUCGGAUUCGAAGCGAAACAGUUUAUCAACCAAAGAAUCUGUCUUUGCCGCCUCGUCCCCAUCAAUAUCAACAUUACUAACCGAACUGGUUUGUGGGAAAGGGUGGUAAUUAAUCAAGCCCCAGUAGUCCAAAAACUCCAUCACUUCCUUUUUUACAUCCAAAUCUCCUGCUGAGAGCUCGGACAAAUCAUUCAACUCAAUUUGAAUGUUGGGGUCAGUGUGAUACUUUUUCAUGAUCCAAUUCCGUAUCUCCAUGUAUAUUUCUGGAGUCCUACUUGGCAACUUCUCAUUGAAGAAUGACGGCAUUGUCUGCUUCUCCAAAGGAUGAACCUCUGUCCAAGAGAACCAACCAGCAUGAGUCGGCACAACGUGAACAUUACGAUCACGGGAUCUAAUUGACUCAAUUCCAGCUUCAAUUUCAGCCUCUAAUGCCUCCAAAUCCUCCUUCACUUGAUUGGACUCUUUGUCAACCUUCACCGCCUCUUCUACACCGACCUCGGCCUUUAGCAGCACCUCCGAUUCGAUCCUAAUACCAAAACCUGACGGAGAAGCAGCACUGGCAGCUGCAGCUGCGGCGUUGUUUGGCUGCUGCCGAGCUCUUGUAAGCGGACCAUUGUGGAUCGGUGGGAAAGGUACUGCUGACUGCUUCUGACGCUUCGACAAAGUCGAGGGGGGAGUUGAACUGGCGCCACUUCCAAUGGCGCUUGCUUUUCGUUUGUUGCCACCACCUCUCCGACGCGACAUAGGCGCCUCAGCGGACGGAACGUCAGCCGAUGUCAUCGGCGUGUCGUUGGCCGGCGGUGGAGUUCCGGUGUCCUUCCG
RNAcentral lists this unclassified non-coding RNA (2981 nucleotides) under Hevea brasiliensis (rubber tree). Lineage: Eukaryota; Viridiplantae; Streptophyta; Magnoliopsida; Malpighiales; Euphorbiaceae. The record is from RNAcentral.